CGUGAAGGAUGAAGGCCCUAUGGGUUGUAAACUUCUUUUGUAUGGGAAUAAACGCUCCUACGUGUAGGAGCCUGAAGGUACCAUAAGAAUAAGCACCGGCUAACUCCGUGCCAGCAGCCGCGGUAAUACGGAGGGUGCAAGCGUUAUCCGGAUUUAUUGGGUUUAAAGGGUCCGUAGGCGGACUAUUAAGUCAGGGGUGAAAGCCCGCAGCUCAACUGCGGAACUGCCUUUGAUACUGGUAGUCUUGAGUACAAGUGAAGUUGGCGGAAUGUGUGGUGUAGCGGUGAAAUGCUUAGAUAUCACACAGAACACCGAUUGCGAAGGCAGCUGGCUAACUUGUAACUGACGCUGAGGGACGAAAGUGUGGGGAUCAAACAGGAUUAGAUACCCUGGUAGUCCACACUGUAAACGAUGAUUACUAGAUUUUGGCCGCAAGGUCAGAGUCCAAGCGAAAGUGUUUAGUAAUCCACCUGGGGAGUACGUCCGCAAGGAUGAAACUCAAAGGAAUUGACGG
This 514-nucleotide ribosomal RNA is filed under the name uncultured bacterium. Its description in RNAcentral is "bacterial SSU rRNA". It matches the Rfam family "Bacterial small subunit ribosomal RNA", at positions 400 to 916 of the family's 1533-position model. The record is from RNAcentral.